CCUACGGGAGGCAGCAGUGGGGGAUAUUGCACAAUGGGGGAAACCCUGAUGCAGCGACGCCGCGUGAGUGAAGAAGUAUUUCGGUAUGUAAAGCUCUAUCAGCAGGGAAGCAAAUGACAGUACCUGACCAAGAAGCCCCGGCUAACUACGUGCCAGCAGCCGCGGUAAUACGUAGGGGGCCAGCGUUAUCCGGAUUUACUGGGUGGAAAGGGAGCGUAGACGGUUAUGUAAGGCUGGAGGGAAAGCCGGGGGCCCAACCCCGGGACUGCUUUGGAAACUGUGGAUCUGGAGUGCAGGAGGGGCAGGCGGAAUGCCUGGUGUAGCGGUGAAAUGCGUAGAUAUCAGGAAGAACACCGGCGGCGAAGGCAGCCUGCUGGACUGAAACUGACGUUGAGGCUCGAAAGCGUGGGGAGCGAACAGGAUUAGAUACCCUUGUAGUC
RNAcentral lists this ribosomal RNA (440 nucleotides) under uncultured bacterium. RNAcentral's name for it is "partial 16S ribosomal RNA". It matches the Rfam family "Bacterial small subunit ribosomal RNA", at positions 338 to 795 of the family's 1533-position model. The record is from RNAcentral.